GACAGAGUAGAUAGAGAGCGUUAAGUGUUAAGGGAUGGGAAGUAGCCCUUAAACGAAAGAUAUUUUCUGCGGUUCUCUAUUGCGUCCGCUGUC
Molecule: regulatory RNA element, 93 nt
Organism: Sporanaerobacter acetigenes DSM 13106
Lineage: Bacteria; Bacillati; Bacillota; Tissierellia; Tissierellales; Sporanaerobacteraceae
Rfam family: THF (Tetrahydrofolate) riboswitch aptamer
About the family: THF riboswitch presents a pseudoknot that joins P1-P2 and the loop of P3 and two THF binding.
Source: Rfam